This is a long non-coding RNA of Oncorhynchus kisutch (coho salmon), 395 nucleotides long. RefSeq lists it as uncharacterized. NCBI's taxonomy places the organism in Eukaryota, Metazoa, Chordata, Actinopteri, Salmoniformes, Salmonidae. The record is from RefSeq and is a predicted model, not a curated record. The transcript has 3 exons.
ACACAACACCUGUGUAGAAGCAAAGGCUACGUAUGUAUUACAGGUAUAACAUAUACUUUAUUUAUAACAUAUACUUUAUUUCACCGAAAAUCCCUCAUUUAUUAUAAUUAAUUGUUUUAAGGUUAUUUUGAGAUGUGUUACACUACUUUCAAGAGUGAACUAUUGUAUUGUGUUUAUUUUCUACAUGGUGUUAAUGCUGUGAGGUCAUCAACGGGAGCCAUGCUUUUACUCCUCGGUUUGCUCAGAGCCUGAUGAGGAGAGUCACUAAAAGAGAGACAACCUGCAGGCUUGUGUCCAGAGACUUGUCUUCCACCUACACCUCACCAGAACACAACGUAGAAAGUACUACUACUACUACCACCACCAUCAUUACCACUACUACUACUACCACCAUC